This 1979-nucleotide ribosomal RNA is filed under the name human metagenome. Its description in RNAcentral is "bacterial LSU rRNA". It matches the Rfam family "Bacterial large subunit ribosomal RNA", at positions 1 to 1980 of the family's 2925-position model. The record is from RNAcentral.
UAAAAUAAUUAAGGGCACACAAAGGAUGCCUAGGUAGUAAGAGCCGAUGAAGGACGUGGUAAGCUGCGAUAAGCCUAGAUAAGUUGCAAUCGAACGUAAGAGUCUAGGAUUUCCGAAUGGAGCAAUCUAUUAAGAUGGAGUCUUAAUACGAAAGAGGGAACCGCGUGAACUGAAACAUCUAAGUAACGCGAGGAAAAGAAAGUAAAAACGAUACCCAAAGUAGCGGCGAGCGAAAUGGGUCAAGCCUAAACCUUAAAUAUGUCAAGGAUACAGCCGUUGUAUUUAGGGGGUUGAGGGACAGAGUAGUGAAGAACUGUAAGAUAUUCAAUAUAGUGUAUUGAUGAAUUGGAAUUGUCUGGAAAGGCGAACCGUAGAAGGUGAAAGUCCUGUACAAGUAAAUCCUUACACAUAUAACUCUGCUCCCAAGUAACAUGGAACACGAGGAAUUCUGUGUGAAUCUGUGAGGACCAUAUCUCAUAAGGCUAAAUACUCUUACUAACCGAUAGCGCAUAGUACCGUGAGGGAAAGGUGAAAAGAACCCCUGGAGGGGAGUGAAAUAGAACCUGAAAUUGUGUGCUUACAAGCGGUCAGAGCCAGUAAUGGUGAUGGCGUGCCUUUUGGAGAAUGAUCCUGCGAGUUACGUUAAACGGCGAGGUUAAGUAUAACGGAGCCGAAGGGAAACCAAGUCUUAAUAGGGCGAUUUAGUCGUUUGGCGUAGACGCGAAACCUGGUGAUCUAAACCUGUCCAGGAUGAAGCUGUGGUAAGACACAGUGGAGGUCCUAACCCACCGCCGUUGAAAAGUUGGGGGAUGAGGUAGGUUUAGGGGUGAAAAGCCAAUCGAACCAGGAGAUAGCUCGUUCUCUCCGAAAUGCAUCUAGGUGCAGCCUUGAGUGUUCAAUUAUGGGGGUAGAGCACUGAAUGAUCUAGGGGGCGUAUUGCUUACUGAAAUCAAUCAAACUCCGAAUACCAUAAUUUAUAGCUCAGGAGUGAGACUAUGGGAGUUAACUUCCAUUGUCGAAAGGGAAACAACCCAGACCACCAGCUAAGGUCCCUAAUUAUAACUAAGUGGGAAAGGAGGUGGAGAUUCACAAACAACUAGGAGGUUGGCUUAGAAGCAGCCAUACCUUUAAAGAGUGCGUAAUAGCUCACUAGUCGAGAGUCUCUGCGCCGACAAUGUAACGGGGCUAAGUUAUAAACCGAAGCUGUGGAAUCCGUAAGGAUUGGUAGGAGAGCGUUCUGUAGGCCGUUGAAGGAGAAGGGUAACCGACUCUGGAGGUAUCAGAAGUGAGAAUGCAGGAAUAAGUAGCGAGAAAGGGGGCGAGAAUCCCCCUCGCCGGAAGACCAAGGUUUUCAGGGUAAAGCUUGUCUUCCCUGAGUAAGCCGGGACCUAAGCCCAGGCUAUAAUGCGUAGGCGAAUGGAAAACAGAUUAAUAUUUCUGUGCCAGUCAUAUAUUGUGAUGGAGGGACGCAGAAGGGUAUGCGCGCGGACGAACGGAAGUGUCCGUAGAAGUAUGUAGGAUGACUUGAUAGGAAAAUCCAUUGAGUUAUAUCUGAGGUAUGAUAUACAGUCGUAAGAUGAAUGCGCAAAUCCCACGCUGCCAAGAAAAGCUUCUAACGUUAAUAUUUGACUGCCCGUACUGCAAACCGACACAGGUGGUCAGGAUGAGAAAUCUAAGGCGGACAGGCUAACUCUCGUUAAGGAACUCUGCAAAAUAACCUCGUAACUUCGGGAGAAGAGGAGCCCUUGAGGGUCAGUAUCCACGCGAUACAAAGCGCUCGAGGGUCGCAGUGAAGAGGCUCAAGCAACUGUUUAACAAAAACACAGGUCUAUGCUAAGCUGGAAGGCGAUGUAUAUGGGCUGACACCUGCCCAGUGCUGGAAGGUUAAGAGGAGGAGUGAGAGCUCCGAAUUGAAGCCCCAGUGAACGGCGGCCGUAACUAUAACGGUCCUAAGGUAGCGAAAUUCCUUGUCGGGUAAG